Molecule: ribosomal RNA, 443 nt
Filed under: uncultured bacterium
Lineage: Bacteria
Description: partial 16S ribosomal RNA
Rfam family: Bacterial small subunit ribosomal RNA
Source: RNAcentral
CCUACGGGAGGCAGCAGUGGGGAAUAUUGGACAAUGGGGGGAACCCUGAUCCAGCGACGCCGCGUGAGUGAAGAAGUAUUUCAGUAUGUAAAGCUCUAUCAGCAGGGAAGAAAGAAAUGACGGUACCUGACUAAGAAGCCCCGGCUAACUACGUGCCAGCAGCCGCGGUAAUACGUAGGGGGCAAGCGUUAUCCGGAUUUACUGGGUGUAAAGGGAGCGUAGGCGGCGAUGUAAGUCUGGAGUUAAAUGGGGGGGCCCAACCCCCGGACUGCCUUGGAAACUGGAUGGCUGGAGUGGAGGAGAGGUAUGCGGAAUGCCUGGUGUAGCGGUGAAAUGCAUAGAUAUUAGGAAGAACACCAGUGGCGAAGGCGGCUUACUGGAGUGUGACUGACGUUGAGGCACGAAAGCGUGGGGAGCAAACAGGAUUAGAUACCCGAGUAGUC